RNAcentral lists this ribosomal RNA (441 nucleotides) under uncultured bacterium. Its description in RNAcentral is "partial 16S ribosomal RNA". It matches the Rfam family "Bacterial small subunit ribosomal RNA", at positions 338 to 795 of the family's 1533-position model. The record is from RNAcentral.
CCUACGGGAGGCAGCAGUGGGGAAUAUUGCACAAUGGGGGGAACCCUGAUGCAGCGACGCCGCGUGGGUGAAGGAGUAUUUCGGUAUGUAAAGCCCUAUCAGCAGGGAAGAACAAUGACGGUACCUGACUAAGAAGCACCGGCUAAAUACGUGCCAGCAGCCGCGGUAAUACGUAUGGUGCAAGCGUUAUCCGGAUUUACUGGGUGUAAAGGGAGCGCAGGCGGCGCGUUAAGCCUGGUGUGAAAGUCCGCGGCCCAACCGCGGGACUGCAUGGGGAACUGGCGCGCUGGAGUGCCGGAGGGGUAGGCGGAAGUCCUAGUGUAGCGGUGAAAUGCGUAGAUAUUAGGAGGAACACCAGUGGCGAAGGCGGCCUACUGGACGGUGACUGACGCUGAGGCUCGAAAGCGUGGGGAGCAAACAGGAUUAGAUACCCCUGUAGUC